AACGAACGCUGGCGGCAUGCCUAACACAUGCAAGUCGAACGAGACCUUCGGGUCUAGUGGCGCACGGGUGCGUAACGCGUGGGAACCUGCCUUUAGGUUCGGAAUAACUCAGAGAAAUUUGAGCUAAUACCGGAUGAUGUCUUCGGACCAAAGAUUUAUCGCCUUUAGGUGGGCCCGCGUUGGAUUAGCUAGUUGGUGGGGUAAAGGCCUACCAAGGCGACGAUCCAUAGCUGGUCUGAGAGGAUGAUCAGCCACACUGGGACUGAGACACGGCCCAGACUCCUACGGGAGGCAGCAGUGGGGAAUAUUGGACAAUGGGCGAAAGCCUGAUCCAGCAAUGCCGCGUGAGUGAUGAAGGCCUUAGGGUUGUAAAGCUCUUUUACCCGAGAUGAUAAUGACAGUAUCGGGAGAAUAAGCUCCGGCUAACUCCGUG
This 433-nucleotide ribosomal RNA is filed under the name uncultured bacterium. Its description in RNAcentral is "partial 16S ribosomal RNA". It matches the Rfam family "Bacterial small subunit ribosomal RNA", at positions 29 to 507 of the family's 1533-position model. The record is from RNAcentral.